This 1007-nucleotide ribosomal RNA is filed under the name Vibrio sp. RNAcentral describes it as "bacterial SSU rRNA". It matches the Rfam family "Bacterial small subunit ribosomal RNA", at positions 86 to 1088 of the family's 1533-position model. The record is from RNAcentral. Lineage: Bacteria; Pseudomonadati; Pseudomonadota; Gammaproteobacteria; Vibrionales; Vibrionaceae.
CGGCGUCGAGCGGCGGACGGGUGAGUAAUGCCUGGGAAAUUGCCCUGAUGUGGGGGAUAACCAUUGGAAACGAUGGCUAAUACCGCAUAAUAGCUUCGGCUCAAAGAGGGGGACCUUCGGGCCUCUCGCGUCAGGAUAUGCCCAGGUGGGAUUAGCUAGUUGGUGAGGUAAUGGCUCACCAAGGCGACGAUCCCUAGCUGGUCUGAGAGGAUGAUCAGCCACACUGGAACUGAGACACGGUCCAGACUCCUACGGGAGGCAGCAGUGGGGAAUAUUGCACAAUGGGCGCAAGCCUGAUGCAGCCAUGCCGCGUGUAUGAAGAAGGCCUUCGGGUUGUAAAGUACUUUCAGCAGUGAGGAAGGUGGGUGUGUUAAUAGCGCAUUCAUUUGACGUUAGCUGCAGAAGAAGCACCGGCUAACUCCGUGCCAGCAGCCGCGGUAAUACGGAGGGUGCGAGCGUUAAUCGGAAUUACUGGGCGUAAAGCGCAUGCAGGUGGUUUGUUAAGUCAGAUGUGAAAGCCCGGGGCUCAACCUCGGAAUAGCAUUUGAAACUGGCAGACUAGAGUACUGUAGAGGGGGGUAGAAUUUCAGGUGUAGCGGUGAAAUGCGUAGAGAUCUGAAGGAAUACCGGUGGCGAAGGCGGCCCCCUGGACAGAUACUGACACUCAGAUGCGAAAGCGUGGGGAGCAAACAGGAUUAGAUACCCUGGUAGUCCACGCCGUAAACGAUGUCUACUUGGAGGUUGUGGCCUUGAGCCGUGGCUUUCGGAGCUAACGCGUUAAGUAGACCGCCUGGGGGAGUACGGUCGCAAGAUUAAAACUCAAAUGAAUUGACGGGGGCCCGCACAAGCGGUGGAGCAUGUGGUUUAAUUCGAUGCAACGCGAAGAACCUUACCUACUCUUGACAUCCUCAGAAGAGACUGGAGAUAGUCUUGUGCCUUCGGGAACUGUGAGACAGGUGCUGCAUGGCUGUCGUCAGCUCGUGUUGUGAAAUGUUGGGUUAAGUCCC